UAGGUUUAAUUUACACAUUGUGUGUAGAGCUAGUCCUUUGCUUCAUCCAUUAAGCUUUUUUAUGUCUGCCCAUCCCUGUAUUCUACGCAGUGACACAUCUGAGAUGGAGGCCUUGAAAAUAUGCAAAUCAGGUAUGAGGAGGCCCCUCCCCCCUAUGGAGAGACUGCUAGUCUAAUUAAAGCUUGCUUGGGCAUUAAAGGCACAGUUACCCUUUGUUGUAUUAAAGGCAUAGCGGAUUUCCUUCAUCAUGUUAAAGGCACAUUUUUUUCUUUGUUAUGUUAAAGCUACAGUAAUCUUUGAUAGUACUAAAAUACAUCGUGGUUAUUCAUUUAUCAUCCCAUGUACUGUACAUGAUGAUGAAUAUAUGCAAGUAUGGGUAGGCUAGGCUAGCGUAGAUCUUUCAUCCAAUUCAUGUAAGAUGUAUAAUCACUCAACAAGCAUUGUGAUUUUAUUUUUGUUUGUGCAAACAAUUAAGCAUACAUUUUUUGGAAUACAAAUAAAUGUUUCUCCAAAUGAAUGCUAUUUCCCUACAUGAUUUAGUGGGGUAUUAUCCCUUAAUCAAAAUCUCAUAGAAACAUAAUAUACCAUAUGAUGUCAGGUGGAAUGUGUCUAUAGGCCUGUUUUUUGUAAUUAAAUGAAAUCAUAAUUUAACAAUUGACAUUAUAUUUACAAUAUAGGAGGCAUUAGGCUGUAUGUAUUAUAAGUCACUCUCUCUUUGUAUCUGGUGUGGUUUUGUUUGGCUGCCAUAAAGGUUUCAUAAAAAGAUACCCUACUGUAAGGGAUGAUCUACACUGGCUUUUACAUUUCAUUAGUUACAGUAAAGGGACUUCAGGAUUUAGGGGAUAUUCGGUUAAACUGGAUAUUUUUACAUUUGGCAAAAAUUAAUCCCACAUUUUCCACUUUGCUGUCGCAUGUCUCGUGCAGCUAAACCCCACGUGCAUACAAGGCUGCAGCGCGCGACUCUAAUGUGCUGCUGUGCCUUUAAAGACGGCUCUGCUUUCUCUCCUCGUUUCUAUGCAAUUAUGUUAAUAUGCAGAGCUUGUCUGGUGCUCUUCAUUAACGGCUGCAGUUGCAUCAUUGUUUCCUUUAUUUGUCAUCUCUGUAAAGCCAAUGAUUCAGUAACAGGCUAUAUUUUGGUGUUUUCUUCCUUACAAAUAUGUGGUCUUUAAUAGUGAUGGAUGAAGUAGGCCGUAUGUAAAGCCGUUUUAUACAUAUUUGCGUUUAUUUGUGGGUUUUCUAUUGCAACAUAUGAUCCUAUCUCAAGGUCGUGAUUUGCAUCCGGUUUGUGUUGGACAUCGGUUUCUAAAUAGGCAGACAAGGUCCUACCUUCAUACAAAGCUGAAGGCAGCAGAGUCAGAACCUGACGACUACAGGGAGCCAGCUCAGAUCUGGGUCAUGCUGCCACCAGCACAAACCAGAAACAUACUGGAGCUUUUACACAUCUUCAUCUCCACCAAGGCUCCCAUGGAGGCAUAGAGAAACCUGAAGCCAAGAGGCACGGAGCUGCAUCCUAGCACCUGUCAUUCACACCCCGAUUGGUUCAUGUUCAUGUUCUGUUUUCAACCUCUCUCUCAUAUUCUCUCCUCUCAUCAUGCCUCUCUAUAUCUGCCAUUAGCUGUUACUCUACCAUAUAAUAUGCACAUGUACUGUAUACCUUACUUACCAUUUAGUAGACAGUUUGUGCUGUUCAUACUGCAGAGUUUGUGGGUGUAUCUCAGGCAGCCACUGCAGUGACAAGGGCACUGGAUCAACCUUUGACAAUAACAAAGACAUUUACAAAUACAAUCUAAUGCAAUAGUUCAAAAAAAAUAAAACUAAACGUAUCCAUUAAAACAAUAUGCUUGAAUUCUCAUCACUAACAUUCAGCAACAAUUAAUUUGAUCAUUGUCGGGUAAUAGAAUAGUCAUGCCAAGGGUUCUUCUACAACAGGCAAAGGACACGUUUAUAUGGAUUAGGCCUAGAGAAGAAUAGAGUGGUGAGAUAGGUGUGGUUGAAUUAGAUAAUGUCUCCAUUCUUCUUUGUUGGGACUUGUAUGGAUCAGAGCCUGCAUUACAGUUAUUGAUGAGGAGAUUCAGAUAGGCAGGUUGGAGGAGGUCGACACAAGGCUUUUGUUUUGAGGAUAGUAGAGGUACAAUCAGAAUGCAGUUAGUGAAUAAAGGUGAAGUAACAAUAAAUAAUAAUAGAUGGAUAUUUUAAGCAUAAAUUGAGAUUGAUCAGAAUACGAAAUGUUCAAAUCAAGUGAGUUAAUAGUAGUAGUCAACAACUAGCCUACUCUCAGUAUUAAAAGACCUGAGGAGGAUAUCGGCCUACACUUGGAUAAUGUAAAGCUCACAAUAGACAUCAAGAGGACGCAGUUUUGGUUAAGGACGAUAUUAUCAGAGUAGCGACUGGUAGGCCCUAUGUCACUGGGUUGACCAGUGGAAAUUCUAAAUUGUCUGGUGACACACUAGAAUGGAGAGAUCCGGCCAGUCGUGGGAAAAGCUCGCUCGGACGUUUCACAAAUCCAGCGUAUAGCCAGCCUCCUUUACUGAAUCAAACCAAUUAGCCAGGAGCGCGCUCCAGCCAUUGAGCGCCACUGUAGGUUCUGAGAGGAGUUGUUGGUUGAAUGAAAAUGCAUCCCCGGAUUUGGUUCUCCAAGAGAAGCUAUAGAAGUUGCCUUUUGAGGGAUAGCUAUAGCACCGUGAAGGGCCAGGCAGAAAGUCCAAAUUGAGACACUUGAAUAAUUUGUGCCGAUUAGGUGUGCGCACAAUGCGUAAAGGUAUUGUGAGACUCACAUGGGAGGUAUAAUGCAUUUAAAUCUAGAAAAACCAUGAAUAUCUUAAGUGUUCUUCCUUUCUAGACAACACAACUCUAUGUGAGAACACAACUGAAAGUAUGCGUUUAUGUAAUGACAUGGAUCGCUUGACUUAAUAUCGACUGAAAUAUCGACUGACAUAGCUCAUCUUAAUCAGGACCGUCUUUUUUAUAGGCGUUGGCCUAUAGUAUGCCUAAAUACGUCAUAAAGGCUAAUAUCGGCCAUAUUCUGGGAAAUCAAAACGUUUCCACCUGAGACAAGAAUGAUAUCAAUAUGAGUCACAAAUCUUAAUCCAUCUGAUUAAACCUUAAUUCAAUAUGUGUUUGCGUGUGCGUAAACCUGAUUUAUGCAGUGAGAACUAUAAGGAAUACUGGUCAACUACGGAUACUUUGAUGCGACAAAGCUUUAUUCAUAUUCAUGCCCGAAUAUCAAUUGUUACAGUUCACUCAUAUGACUGGAUAAAGUUAUCUAUUCCUCUGACCGGAAUAAAGGCUUUUUAUUAAGUAUUUUUCCUUUUAGAAUAUGUUUUCGGCAAAAUCACUCUAGAUGCCUUGCGUGAUGGAAUAAAUAAAUGUAUAAAGAGUAUUCUUGCUCUAAGCAUACUAAACAAAAGUGGGACAAAUAUACACUUCAAUUCACAACAUGAUUUUGAAUCCAUUGUGGAAAAUGUUGAUUUAUCAUUUAAAGGCAUGCUAUAAAGAUUACCCUACUUAUAUUUAGAGAAUAUAUUCUCUAAAUGAAAUAAGAAAAAGCAUUCAUUUCGGGUUGUAUCAGGUUUUGAGGAAUUCAGAAGUGUUUCAACAGAUGUUUAUAAUAAAUGAUUAGGGAAAAUUGUUAUAACUUACCGGAAAGGCAAUGAGGUAUUGGCCUGUAAUUGCAUAUCAAUUAUGUUAUUUUGUGUCUUUACUCCUAGACACCAUUUAUUCCUGUCCGAGUCGCAGGUUUGGAGGACAUUCCUACAUUCGGUUAGCUAGCUUUAUGACGGCCGAGUAACACUCAUACAGCUAGAUAACCAAAGAUAGCAACCGACUCCUCCUCGUACAUACUGCCAGAGUAUCGUAUGGGUUCCACCUAACAUGAAAAAUAAACAUUUUGUUAAUGCAAUAACUAGCCUAAUAUUGAUAUUGCUACUACCAAUUUGUAUCCAUAAAUCUGCCCCCUUCCCAAAAUAAGAUAAUAAUAAUAACAAAUAGGCCUACAUCAAUAGACAUCAAUAUAAAUAUAUCCUAUUAUUAGUUGAUGUGCAGGCCAUGGGGUCGAUGAAUAAGACUCUGUGAAAGGUUUUAAUCUGUCUCCAUCUCUAACUACUCUCGCUGAUAUAGACCCAUGCAUGAUGACAUCGCUAGCAUAUAGGCCUACAGGGCUACAAGCCUGGCCUGGACGUGCAACCAGCUUCCCGCCUUUUGUGAAAGAUCCUUCUAUUCUGCAUAACUUAAAUCAUCGUCAUAUUAAAUCCUAAAUCACUUUAGAGUAAAUCGAUCAAUAGACUCUCAACCAGUGGAGGACUUGGCUAACAUUGAAAUGUUCUAUUUACAGACCUAUAGCUCUGCUCCCAUACAACAUCACCAUCUUCACCACUUAACAUUCCACUCCCACUACAUAUCUUGUGACAAUAAUGAGGAUCAAUUAAUGUAAAAACAUAUCACAGGCGAUUUAAUUGCAUCGAUUGACAUCGUAUUUGCAGGCAGUAUAUUAUAGGCUUAGUGACUUUUCCAGAAAAAUAGCCUGUGUCUAUUAUGGUAAGGACUGCAUGGCACUAUGUGAUCACUAUAAUGAAAUUAUUUGUAUUAUUAUUAAUGUCAUAUUAUUAUUGGAAUCCUUAGUCUAUAGGCUAUUUAUAUCUGGAUAUAUUUUAGUUUCUUUCCCCUCCUGGAAAAAUGUAUCUAUUUCAAAAGAUCAUAGAGGACACCCACAAUAACACACAUGUAGGCUCUUCAUUCACUAAUUCAUUAAUUUCUCACAAGAGAGUGCAAAAAAAAACUAGCUAAAUCAUGUCAUCAAGAUGAAAGCGUGUAGGCCUGUAGACCAUCAUUAUUUUACCGGCUUUAGUAUUGUAGCUAGUCUAUCUAUAAUGAGCCUUCUGCACAUGUUUAAAGACAGACUAACCUCGUGAUGAACCCACGUCUCCCUUUAUCAGUGCGUCUGACGUCAUAGCUUUUAAUUGAAAAAGUCACGAAUAAUAGUGUGCUUGUAAGCCAUUUCCAAAUCAUUAUGAUUUAACACAUCAAUAAUUUAACACAACGCAAUGUUAUUUGUUAUUAAUAUAAUGUAACAAUGAAAAGAUUUACAGAAAUGUAUACCACUGUAUUGCUAUUUUAGAGAAUAGCCAAAAUAAUUGCAUAUUCUAUGUACAUUUCUUUGUAUGUGAAAAGGUGUGGGUGACAUUACACAUCCUAAUGUAUGGAUGAGGAUAUUCCUACAAAGCAGUUAGGUUACCGGGCUAUAGGCUACAUUUGAAACUGCUCAAUUUCAUCACACCGACUAUCUUACUAAAUGAAUGUAGAACAUAAUAUAACCAAUAUACCAUAUAAAUUAAACCCCUAGCAGUAUCUGCACGACCAAAAGAACUGCGUUUAUUUCACAAAUAGGCCUAUACAUGUCAUAGAGGCUAUACAGGGCGAUGUAGAUCUAUCCGCUCUUUCGACUAUAUAGGCCUGGGCUACAGUUGAUCAGAUCAAACGCAGGUGAAUUUGUCCCAUAAUUACACAACUUUAUGUAGACUAGAUCAAUUCAAACUCCUUAACACUGUAUAUAUAUAUAAUAGAUGGUCAGAAUUGAUGGCUGCGAUAUGAUUAACAAAGAUGAGUGUCUGCAGCUAGCGGUAUGUUAUUAAGCCUGGAAUAAACUCACAUCGACGUCUAUUGAAUAAGGAAUCCUUACUUUUCAAUGCGAGGAAAUUUGUCCUGGUUCUUUUGCCAUCCAAUGGAGGGCUGCGUAUCCGCGUGGAAGUCAACAGUAAGGGUUCCGGUAAAGGAUGAGAAGCAUAUGGCUAGCAUAUAGAAUAGGUUUUACCGAGGAAAUGAAAUCAGAUUAUUUACCUAUGAAGAGAGGACAUGUGUCUGUACAGAAAACGAUAAAUGCUUCUCAUCCCAAAUUCGCCGUUCGAAGCAGGCGGAGGCAUACGGUUUCUAAAAGGCGCUGUCGAUGCUCAAACCUCUGUUUUGGAACGAUCCAUGUCGAAUUGGUGGUUUAUUUCCGAGGUUGUGAGAUCCCUUAACCAUUAUUUCACUUGUCUCUCGUGAAUGGCAUAAGAGAUGGUAUCUCUCUACGGAUUAUAAAUCAAAGCGCGGUCCUCCCGUGGCCCGUUAGUUUAUCCAUUGUAGCGCUCCUCCGUGCCGCGGUUGCUCUCACUACCCUGAGAGCAUAGAGUUUUUUCUCUAAAUGCUUCUUCCUCUGACAGUUCUCUUCUGCAGUGACGUCACUCCAGCAGCAAACGGCCGAGUGACCAAUCACAGACAGGCUAGAGGGGACGUGUGUGUGUGUGUGUGUGUGAGUGAGUGUGUGUGUGUGCGCGCGCGCGCGCGCGAGCGGGUGUGUGUCUGGUACAAGAGUGAGUAUGCACGUGUGAGUUAAGCAUGCUUUGCGCGUAUGCCAUUAUGUGAGUAAGCGCUUUUUCUAUUCAUUUUUAGGCUAUAGGCUACUUGAGAUAAUAUUACCGCCUGGUUAUUACACUAUAUAAGAAAAAUAUCGAAAGAUUACCCCAAAUUUAGGGCAACGGGUAGGCUACAAUUUGUUUGCAUGGGCUUUAAGUACGUUUGGUGACUUUUACGCAGGUUUAUACCUCUCUCUCUGUGUGUGUGUGUGUGUGUGUGUGUGUGUGUGUGUGUGCUUUAUGCAAAAUUAGGUAACAGAAAUUGCUAAACACCUCUUACCCAAACCAUUUAGCCCUUAAAAACACCUUAUAGAAGCAAGCAUUAUGACAAUGUUAUUACAACAGUAUUACAUGUGUUUAUUAGAUGCAUUUCCCCCCAUUAACUCUAUAUGAAUGUUAUUGGAUGACGACAUACUGAGCUAGGCCUAGUAUUGCACAAUCCACCUUCGGGUUUUGGUGUGGCAGAUUUAAAUUAAGCUAAUUCGGAUGAAAUAUGGUGCUAGAAUAGGCCUAUCACCGAAGGAGAGAGAGAGGGAAUCUAUUGAAACUGGAUUUUGCCUUGUAGUUCUGUACUUUGAUACUAUUGGUGCUCAGUCUAAGAUGUGCUCUGUGGUAGAUGUGCUCAGUAAAGAUGCUGUGUAGCUUUUCAUAAUACAUUAACAAUACGUCUGUUAAUGUAAUUUCUAUGUCUUUAUCAUAUUUAUUUGGCUAUAUUAUCCUAGUUUUUUAUUAUGGCAUUUUUUUUCUCCCACCGUUUUAGCAAACUGUCCAGGUGGGCUAUGGGUUAGUGCGUGCUAUGUGAUGAGACGUAAUCAAUGCAGCUUGCUAUAUCUUCAUUUAUCAGCUGAGUUAUUUAGACCUGCAGUUUACACUUUUAGCAUGAGCAUUUUCUUCUCGCUAAUCCCCCUUUUUACCUUCAGUGCUUGGCACUCUCCAUGUUUCAUGUUUGAAAGCAGAUAUUCUACACCACAAAGAUCCAGUCCAGCAGUGUAUGUAGGCUACUUUAAUCCAAUAGGCAAUGACAAUAGAUCCAGUCCAGCAGUGUAUGUAGGCUACUUUAAUCCAAUAGGCAAUGAGAAUAGAUCCAGUCCAGCAGUGUAUGUAGCCAAUAGGCAAUGAGAAUAGAGAAAAUACAAAUACUUUAUGGAAGGUAAACGAUUUUUUAUGCUUCAUGAAAUGUCGUGAUCUAAUUUCUCUAAACUAUCAAACCGAUUGAAGUUUCGAUUAAGUUUGCAAUAUCACAACCAACAAAUACAUUUUAAAGUAACUCAAAAAGCUAUUUGGACUAUGUUUGUGGGUAUACAAUUUUCCCCAGGCUUGGAAGACGAAAUUCGUGAACUUAUCUCUGAUCUCCUCUCUCCGUUUGGCCCCAGUCGGACAGGGAAGUAGAGAAAAUAAUAUGCAGAUAUACUGUAAAAAGUGUACUUUUUUAAAUGUACCAUUUAUGUACCAUGUAUGUACCAUUUUGGAUGGUGGACCAAACAAAGCUACGGCAUGAUUAUACAGCUCUCAGUGAUGGAGCACCUUGUAAGAAAAGUAUCCUGAUCAUCAUGUUUUAAAUAGAAAUACAUUUAUUUACGAGACAAUGGAAAUACGGCAUAAACAGAUAAACACAGGUAUCUUUUGGUUAUCACUACGGCAACAGCUUCCAGGAACGACACAAUAUUUACAUCUUACAGUUAUUUAGAAAAUAAGCAAAAGGAAUAAAACAACAAUAUGUACAUAACAACUGCCAAGUGGUACAGUAUUUGGAAUUUCAGUACAGUACGUUCUUUUUUAAAGGCUCCUUGCGGUAGGUAUAUUAACUGGACAGCCUUGACUGUGCCCUUUGUCUAAUGCAAAAAAACAAAAAUGUUACUGAAGGCAUUGUAGUUUUUAUUUUUGGUAAAAUCAUAUGGUUACACUAGUGUGAAGCAGAUUGUCUUUACUUGGCUAUUUACUCAAUUAGAUCACACACACACACACACACACACAUACACACACACACACACACACACACACAGACACACACACACUUUAUCUCACACACAUAUGGAAUUUCGAAUGGGUGAAAUGCAUGUCUAUUAGCCCAUGUGUGUAUCAUAUUCAUUAAUCGAUCAUAGACUAAUGUCAUGGACUAUUGUCACGAGGGAUUUUGAGGGCUUGAUGGCUCAGGCAGUGACAGAACACGUCACUAACGCGGAGAGAGCAGGUCAGUUCUUGACCUCUAAACCCUGGGUUUUGUUAUAACAAAGUGGUGCUUUCCUUGAGAGUCCGGUCUCUCCAUGUAGAGAGGGUCAGUUAAGGUUAGAUUAAGUGCUCGUGUCUAUAUAGACUGAUGUAUUACUAGCUUGUUAACCAAUUGUGCGAGCCAUUGUCAGAUAAACGAUUUUACAAUGCAUUAUCUAAAUAAAAUAUAUGAAGUGAUGUUACCCAGGUCAGCCUAAAAAUCCAAAGCCUAUAUUCACACAUACAUUAACCUGCUGGAUCUCCAGAUCAAAUUGUUGAAAUAUGUCCCAAAUAGUAGGUUUUUCAAUCCGUAAAUCGAUGACAUCGAACAAUACUGAGGUGCGUAUAGGCUUUGACCGUGGGCUAUUUUAAUCUUAAUUUUAUGUCACUGACCCAUGGAUUGACCGUAAUCUGAUAAAAGAGGAUAGGGCCUAUAAGAAAUCCAUGAAUUGGUUUGAACAAUGGUCCAACUGACUUGGGUUAUACCGACAUCUAGCGCUCAGUUGAUGUUUUUUAUUCCUCGUGUUAUCAUACUGUAAAGUCAAUGGGAUAUGCUCUAGGCAUAACCUCUAUAAUGUUUGUAAUCGAAAAAUGCAACAUAUACGUUUAAUUGGGCAAUUAAGAUAAUUUUGUAAAUAUUAGGCCUAUUUAAAUUUGUUUCAGCAUUGUAAUAUAGGAUUGCGAAUUGUUUGUGUCAGAUGCUUUGUAAUAUAUCAGAAAUGAUAGUAGUAAAUCAACAAAAUUAUGGUCGAGACACAAAAAUCCUAAUCUUUAAUAGAUCGUUUAUAUUUUAUAUUUCUCCCCCAAUGCAUAUUCUCAUAUUCUAAAAAAGUUUACAAACUACAAUCGAUAUUCUAUAAGAUAUUUUUUCUAAUAUGCCAAUAUAAUACACACUAAACCUAGGAAUUAGAUUCACUGCACAAACAGUCCUUGUUUUCUUAGAAGUCAAAUGCAAUAUUUUCAAUGUUUGGUGCAGACAAGACCGUAAAAUGAUUUGUAUAGUCCUAAAGUAGCUUUGUUGUUGCAGUUGGUUAACAAAUUAAUGAAAGUGAACUAUACAUUUCAACACUGUUCAAUAUGUAACUUUAGAAUUAAAGUUGUGUUCUAACAAAUGGCAGUGCACAGUUUCAGAGAUCUAGAAUUAUUGAGAUUUUUAACAUGAUUAUUAAAUUAUAAUAACAUGUUUAAUGUGUUUAAAUUUGUUUGGAUUAUUACAUGUCUCCUUAUAAUAAACAAUUAUAUGUUGACA
This is a long non-coding RNA of Oncorhynchus mykiss (rainbow trout), 9843 nucleotides long. RefSeq lists it as uncharacterized. The record is from RefSeq and is a predicted model, not a curated record. NCBI's taxonomy places the organism in Eukaryota, Metazoa, Chordata, Actinopteri, Salmoniformes, Salmonidae.